CCUCCCUCUGUUCUCUCUCUCUCCC
This 25-nucleotide microRNA is filed under the name Ananas comosus (pineapple). RNAcentral describes it as "microRNA s1167_c016b". The record is from RNAcentral. Lineage: Eukaryota; Viridiplantae; Streptophyta; Magnoliopsida; Poales; Bromeliaceae.